RNAcentral lists this ribosomal RNA (955 nucleotides) under uncultured Bacteriovorax sp. RNAcentral's name for it is "bacterial SSU rRNA". It matches the Rfam family "Bacterial small subunit ribosomal RNA", at positions 1 to 940 of the family's 1533-position model. Lineage: Bacteria; Pseudomonadati; Bdellovibrionota; Bacteriovoracia; Bacteriovoracales; Bacteriovoracaceae. The record is from RNAcentral.
GNGACUAGAGUUUGAUCAUGGCUCAGAACGAACGCUGGCGGCGUGCCUAACACAUGCAAGUCGAACGAGAAAGCCCUUCGGGGUGAGUAGAGUGGCGCACGGGUGAGUAACACGUAGGUGAUCUGCCUUUCGGUGGGGGAUAACCAGAAGAAAUUCUGGCUAAUACCGCAUACGUACAACCGACUUGAAGGUGGUUGUAGAAAGGGUGCCUCUCCUUGGAAGCACUUACCGAUAGAGGAGCCUGCGGAACAUUAGCUUGAUGGUGGGGUAAAGGCCUACCAUGGCAACGAUGUCUAACUGGUCUGAGAGGAUGAUCAGUCACACUGGAACUGAGACACGGUCCAGACUCCUACGGGAGGCAGCAGUGGGGAAUAUUGCGCAAUGGGGGAAACCCUGACGCAGCAACGCCGCGUGAGUGAGGAAGGCCCUCGGGUCGUAAAGCUCUGUCAAAUGGGAAGAACGGUACAUUGUCUAAUAGGCAGUGUAUUUGACGGUACCAUUAAAGGAAGCACCGGCUAACUUCGUGCCAGCAGCCGCGGUAAUACGAAGGGUGCAAGCGUUGUUCGGAUUUAUUGGGCGUAAAGCGCGCGCAGGCGGACAGUUAAGCCAGAUGUGAAAUCCCGGGGCUCAACCCCGGAACUGCGUCUGGAACUGGUUGUCUAGAAUCUCGGAGGGGGAAGGAGAAUUUCGCAUGUAGGGGUAAAAUCCGUAGAGAUGCGAAGGAAUACCAGAGGCGAAGGCGCCCUUCCUGGACGAGUAUUGACGCUGAGGCGCGAAAGCGUGGGGAGCAAACAGGAUUAGAUACCCUGGUAGUCCACGCCGUAAACGAUGUGCACUAAUAUUGGGGCCUUUGACCGUUCCAUGUCGCACUAACGCAUUAAGUGCACCGCCUGGGGAGUACGGUCGCAAGACUAAAACUCAAAGGAUUGACGGGGGCCCGCACAACGUGGAUUAU